UGCGAUAACUAGUGCGAAUUGCAGACACAUUGAGCACAAAAAUUUCGAACGCAAAUUGCGCCAUCGGGUUUAUUCCCCUUGGCACGUCUGGCUGAGGGUCGGU
This 103-nucleotide ribosomal RNA is filed under the name Crassicauda giliakiana. RNAcentral's name for it is "5.8S ribosomal RNA". It matches the Rfam family "5.8S ribosomal RNA", at positions 54 to 154 of the family's 154-position model. Rfam says of the family: 5.8S ribosomal RNA (5.8S rRNA) is a component of the large subunit of the eukaryotic ribosome. It is transcribed by RNA polymerase I as part of the 45S precursor that also contains 18S and 28S rRNA. Lineage: Eukaryota; Metazoa; Nematoda; Chromadorea; Rhabditida; Tetrameridae. The record is from RNAcentral.